This 954-nucleotide ribosomal RNA is filed under the name Triticum aestivum (bread wheat). RNAcentral describes it as "partial small subunit ribosomal RNA". Lineage: Eukaryota; Viridiplantae; Streptophyta; Magnoliopsida; Poales; Poaceae. The record is from RNAcentral.
AUGCGGUCGCUGUCAUUGCUCUCGCAGUGCCUUGUCGGCUUACUGUCUCAUGACAAGGCCGCGGCGCACUGCAGCGACAUCGUGCCCGUGAGGUACCACUCGCGCCUGCCGUCGCCGGCCGUCGAGAUCGUCCCAUCACAGAAUGUUCAUCCAUACAAGUAUGCGGGCGACAAUAUUCAAGUGCACAGCAUGAAUAUAUUCAAGGGGAAGUUUAGUGUGUACUUACUACUUGGAAAGGUGAAGAGUUCACUCGAGCUAGUUAAUGUUAUGAAGAAUGAGAUCCGUGAUGGGCUAUUGACAUUCAGAAACAAACGUGUUUUAGAGCUGGGCUGUGGAUAUGGGCUUCCUGGGAUACUUUCUUGCCUGAUGGAAGCUUCGACAGUGCAUUUUCAGGUUCCCAGUGCCGAAAUAAUAAGGUGCAGAACAAUCCCCAAUGUGCUCGCAAAUCUCGAGCAAGCUCGAGACAAACAGAGUCACCAACAGGGAAGCCCUCUUACUCCAUCAUGGCAACAGUUGCCUCAGGACAUCCAUUUCUAUGCUGGGGACUGGGAGGAGCUUCACACGGUCCUGUCGGUGAUACAAGAGGAUGAGGUGGAUGCAUUGUCGGGAGUAGGACUAGGGUUCUGUGAAGAUGACUUUUUGGAUGGUUGCAGCAGCCAGGAUGGGAACAAUAUCUGCCACGAAACCUCGUCGAGACGAUCUACAAAACUAUCAGGCAGCCGUGCAUGGGAGAGGGGAAACGAGGCCUCUGCUGGAGACGAGGGUGGAUACGACAUAGUGUUAGUGAAUAAGAUCCCUUACUCUCUCGCGUGCUUUCGACUCCAUCUCAACUACAUCGGCUCCAGCAGUGCGGUGCGGCAGCUCAGAGCAUUGGUUGAUGGGGAGGGCGCCUUUGGUGUGCACCUCAUCGCCGAGCCCCCUGAGAGGGAGAUCUGGAAGUUCUUCUCUAAAUAA